AGAACGAACGCUGGCGGCAGGCUUAACACAUGCAAGUCGAACGCUCGUAGCAAUACGGGAGUGGCAGACGGGUGAGUAACGCGUGGGAACAUACCCUCCGGUUCGGAAUAGCUCAGGGAAACUUGGAUUAAUACCGGAUACGGCCGAGAGGCGAAAGAUUUAUCGCCGGAGGAUUGGCCCGCGUUCGAUUAGCUAGUUGGUGAGGUAACGGCUCACCAAGGCGAUGAUCGAUAGCUGGUCUGAGAGGAUGAUCAGCCACAUUGGGACUGAGACACGGCCCAAACUCCUACGGGAGGCAGCAGUGGGAAUAUUGGACAAUGGGCGCAAGCCUGAUCCAGCCAUGCCGCGUGAGUGAUGACGGCCUUAGGGUUGUAAAGCUCUUUCGCUCGGGACGAUAAUGACGGUACCGAGAUAAGAAGCCCCGAUAACUUCGUGCCAGCAGCCGC
This 446-nucleotide ribosomal RNA is filed under the name uncultured bacterium. RNAcentral's name for it is "SSU rRNA". It matches the Rfam family "Bacterial small subunit ribosomal RNA", at positions 26 to 518 of the family's 1533-position model. The record is from RNAcentral.